AACAUAUUUUUCUUGGGGUUACGAUACUGGCCAAUGAAAGGGUAGUGAGAGUAAACUGCUUAUGACUACACAACACCCCUGCAUUAACUAGAGCUUUGAUUUACUUUGGUGCAACUUUUGAAAAA
RNAcentral lists this non-coding RNA (125 nucleotides) under Cebus imitator (Panamanian white-faced capuchin). Lineage: Eukaryota; Metazoa; Chordata; Mammalia; Primates; Cebidae. The record is from RNAcentral.